UUCCACAUGAUGAGAAAAUCUUAAUUUAUUGAAAAUAAACGGCAAAGGAGCCACUAAUGAAA
This is a small nucleolar RNA of 62 nucleotides. Its record names the gene SNORD42. It matches the Rfam family "Small nucleolar RNA SNORD42". Rfam says of the family: snoRNA U42 is found in intron 3 of the ribosomal protein L23a (RPL23a) gene in humans and is also present in mice. U42 is a member of the C/D class of snoRNA which contain C (UGAUGA) and D (CUGA) box motifs. Most of the members of the box C/D family function in directing site-specific 2'-O-methylation of substrate RNAs. The record is from Ensembl.